This 432-nucleotide ribosomal RNA is filed under the name uncultured bacterium. RNAcentral's name for it is "partial 16S ribosomal RNA". It matches the Rfam family "Bacterial small subunit ribosomal RNA", at positions 338 to 795 of the family's 1533-position model. The record is from RNAcentral.
CCUACGGGAGGCAGCAGUGGGGAAUAUUGGACAAUGGGCGCAAGCCUGAUCCAGCCAUGCCGCGUGAGUGAUGACGGCCUUAGGGUUGUAAAGCUCUUUCGCUCGGGACGCGGUACCGAGAUAAGAAGCCCCGGCUAACUUCGUGCCAGCAGCCGCGGUAAUACGAAGGGGGCUAGCGUUGUUCGGAAUUACUGGGCGUAAAGCGCGUGUAGGCGGGUCUUUAAGUCAGGGGUGAAAUGCCAAGGCUCAACCUUGGAACUGCCUUUGAUACUGGAGAUCUUGAGUCCGGGAGAGGUGAGUGGAAUUGCGAGUGUAGAGGUGAAAUUCGUAGAUAUUCGCAAGAACACCAGUGGCGAAGGCGGCUCACUGGCCCGGACUGACGCUGAGACGCGAAAGCGUGGGGAGCAAACAGGAUUAGAUACCCUUGUAGUC